CUACGGGUUGCUCCAGUGGGGAAUAUUGCACAAUGGACGAAAGUCUGAUGCAGCAACGCCGCGUGGAGGAUGACACAUUUCGGUGCGUAAACUCCUUUUAUAUAAGAAGAUAAUGACGGUAUUAUAUGAAUAAGCACCGGCUAACUCCGUGCCAGCAGCCGCGGUAAUACGGAGGGUGCAAGCGUUACUCGGAAUCACUGGGCGUAAAGAGCGUGUAGGCGGAUAGAUAAGUUGGAAGUGAAAUCCUAUGGCUCAACCAUAGAACUACUUCCAAAACUGUCUAUCUAGAAUAUGGGAGAGGUAGAUGGAAUUUCUGGUGUAGGGGUAAAAUCCGUAGAGAUCAGAAGGAAUACCGAUUGCGAAGGCGAUCUACUGGAACAUUAUUGACGCUGAGACGCGAAAGCGUGGGGAGCAAACAGGAUUAGAUACCCCGGUAGUC
RNAcentral lists this ribosomal RNA (439 nucleotides) under uncultured bacterium. Its description in RNAcentral is "partial 16S ribosomal RNA". It matches the Rfam family "Bacterial small subunit ribosomal RNA", at positions 339 to 795 of the family's 1533-position model. The record is from RNAcentral.